Molecule: non-coding RNA, 219 nt
Organism: Pelobates cultripes (western spadefoot toad)
Lineage: Eukaryota; Metazoa; Chordata; Amphibia; Anura; Pelobatidae
Source: the annotation of a GenBank genome assembly
GCCGAGACAAACUGAUGCAACUUCCACCAGUGGCGAGUGCGGUGCAUCUCGGGAGCUGUAGUUUUAUUUUUCGUUACGAGUGCGGCGAGUUGACGGCAAAGCACUACAAUACCCGAUUCCCUUUCUGCGCAGCGAGGACAGCUUCCGCCAGCCAGCCAGCCAGCCGGCAACGUGUGUCAGCGGUGAAGUGCUAUACUCGGCCUGCACUCAGUAUGACGG